Molecule: long non-coding RNA, 289 nt
Filed under: Prunus persica (peach)
Lineage: Eukaryota; Viridiplantae; Streptophyta; Magnoliopsida; Rosales; Rosaceae
Description: long non-coding RNA (PPER_LNC007827)
Source: RNAcentral
ACUGGUGCUAUGGGCGAUGAAGCCAACGGUUGCGAGAGUUGAACCAAGCGUGGCCAACAAAGCGUUCAAGGCUCUCUCUUGGCAAGUCCGCAAAAUGUCUACAUCAUCAUAAUAAAAGCUCUUGUAGAUAGAUUAUUCCACAUCAUCAUAACUUUUCCUUUGAACCGUAGUUUUGGAGCCAUAUGUGCCAGCCAAGGUGCAUAGGCACUCUAAGAACAAACAAAAGCACAGUGGUGGCCUCCCCCCUUCCCCCUGCUUGACAUCCAAGUUCGAAACCCCAAUGGUUUUC